This 129-nucleotide non-coding RNA is filed under the name human gut metagenome. RNAcentral describes it as "glmS glucosamine-6-phosphate activated ribozyme". It matches the Rfam family "glmS glucosamine-6-phosphate activated ribozyme aptamer". From Rfam's summary of the family: This entry contains a glucosamine-6-phosphate activated ribozyme that is found in the mRNA for GlmS. GlmS is an enzyme that uses fructose-6-phosphate and glutamine to generate glucosamine-6-phosphate. The ribozyme catalyses self cleavage of the glmS mRNA that is thought to regulate GlmS activity. The record is from RNAcentral.
UAGCGCCAGAACAACAGUUGACGAGGAUAGUAGUUAUCGAAUUUUCGGCGGAUGCUACUACGGGUUAAUGUACUCGUUAGAUAUAUUUUAAAAAAUAAAAUCAAAAUUAUAACAAAGAAUAUAUCAUAC